CCUACGGGUGGCAGCAGUGAGGAAUAUUGGUCAAUGGACGAGAGUCUGAACCAGCCAAGUAGCGUGAAGGAUGACUGCCCUAUGGGUUGUAAACUUCUUUUAUAAAGGAAUAAAACGAGGCACGUGUGCCUUUUUGCAUGUACUUUAUGAAUAAGGAUCGGCUAACUCCGUGCCAGCAGCCGCGGUAAUACGGAGGAUCCGAGCGUUAUCCGGAUUUAUUGGGUUUAAAGGGAGCGUAGAUGGGUUGUUAAGUCAGUUGUGAAAGUUUGCGGCUCAACCGUAAAAUUGCAAUUGAUACUGGCAGUCUUGAGUACAGUUGAGGUAAGCGGAAUUCGUGGUGUAGCGGUGAAAUGCUUAGAUAUCACGAAGAACCCCGAUUGCGAAGGCAGCUUACCAAACUGUGACUGACAUUGAUGCUCGAAAGUGUGGGUAUCAAACAGGAUUAGAUACCCGAGUAGUC
Molecule: ribosomal RNA, 460 nt
Filed under: uncultured bacterium
Lineage: Bacteria
Description: partial 16S ribosomal RNA
Rfam family: Bacterial small subunit ribosomal RNA
Source: RNAcentral